Long non-coding RNA from Equus quagga, 834 nucleotides. RefSeq lists it as uncharacterized. The transcript is spliced from 3 exons. The record is from RefSeq and is a predicted model, not a curated record. Lineage: Eukaryota; Metazoa; Chordata; Mammalia; Perissodactyla; Equidae.
CUCCCAGAGGCCGCCUGGGGGCGGGCCGCACCUCCAGAGCCCCAGGCUUGCUCCGGCUCUGCUCCGGUCCAGCUCUCUUCCCCUAAUUGGCUUCUCCUGGGUGUGCUCACUUGGGAGCGUCCGAGCCUCGGAGGCAUCCACCGUUCUCCGAACCGCUCCAACAACUUAGAGCCAGUCCUGUCCGAAGCCUGCAAGUUUGAGGACUGCCUUUCGGGGUUUGUUACCGUAUCCUGUUUAGAGGCGUAAAAUUCCUUCACUGCACCGCGCUUAGUUGCUGUUUUGGGGCGACACAGGAUCACUGGAGAGGCCAGUAUCCCAGAGGAGGAGAAGAUCUCUAAGUGCUGAGCUCCCUCUCGCGCCUUUGGGAUAAAGUGUGCGUUGCCAGAUUCGCACUUGGCAGAGGUUUUACAUAGUCAUAGUCCUGACAUUGAAGUUCCCAGUCCGCGAUCGUCAGAAGGUGAAGCUGGUCCUUUGUGCGUCGGCCUCUGGGGAGACCACUUCUCCGUGCUCUCGGCGGCCAGUGGAGGCGCGCUGGUGUCACUGCCUCGCUUCGAGUACCACUUUCCCAGCCCCAAUCCAUCACUCGGAUUGUCAGGCCUGUCACUCGGGGCAGGUUGCUCCAGGACUACUCGUCCCUGACUCUGCGGCGCCUUGAGACAACAUGAGAACCCAAGAUGGGGAUAGAUGAUUUCGAAGGGGUUCUUCAAACAGAAAGGAAUAGCUACCACAGAAAUAACAAAUAGCGGUCACGCACCUUUAUCAUGCUCAGUAAAGACAGCAUGCACCACUCCCGGGCCAUAUGAAUCAUACAUUAAACUCAAUUUACUCCCUGGA